CCGUAGCUCAGUUGGUAGAGCACCUGACUCUUAAUCAGGGUGUCCAGGGUUCGAACCCCUGCG
RNAcentral lists this transfer RNA (63 nucleotides) under uncultured Prevotella sp. It matches the Rfam family "tRNA", at positions 6 to 65 of the family's 71-position model. From Rfam's summary of the family: Transfer RNA (tRNA) molecules are approximately 80 nucleotides in length. Their secondary structure includes four short double-helical elements and three loops (D, anti-codon, and T loops). Lineage: Bacteria; Pseudomonadati; Bacteroidota; Bacteroidia; Bacteroidales; Prevotellaceae. The record is from RNAcentral.